AAGAGCCGGAUGAAUCGAGAGAUUCACGUCCGGAUCCGUGAGAGCGUGAGGGUGCAAUUCCCUUGCGCUACUCGAC
RNAcentral lists this non-coding RNA (76 nucleotides) under Paraburkholderia silvatlantica. The record is from RNAcentral. Lineage: Bacteria; Pseudomonadati; Pseudomonadota; Betaproteobacteria; Burkholderiales; Burkholderiaceae.